This 520-nucleotide unclassified non-coding RNA is filed under the name Bombus terrestris (buff-tailed bumblebee). RNAcentral's name for it is "misc RNA ENSBTSG00005029459.1". Lineage: Eukaryota; Metazoa; Arthropoda; Insecta; Hymenoptera; Apidae. The record is from RNAcentral.
UAGGGGUUAGAUAGGAAGGUAGAGUGAGGUAGUGAAAGGGGAUUCGACAAGGAAAGGCAACCGAGAGAAACAACGAGAGACCGGUAAAAUAGAGAAACAAAGAUGGUGUGAGGGAAAUAGACAAGUAACGAGGGGAAUACGGGAGCAGCGAAAAAAGAUUUCGGAAGGAAAGCUAUCCGGGAGGGGUAGAGAUGUGUUGAAGUGUGUUCUUGUGUAUAUAUAUGGUGCAGUGCGGUGCUGUGCUCGAGAGAGAGAAUGGCGUGGUCGGAUUUCGCGUGUACCUCGCCGUGACGUGGAAAGAGUCGACUUCGCAGCGAGAAGAACAACCGUUUCGCCGAACGAGUUCUCGAAAGGCACGAGCGAAUACGGAUCGAUAACUGUCGGGGAACCAACGCGACAAAAAAUCCCUCGGUGAAUCCGGUGACCGGUACAGGAAAUCGAAUCGCUUGCUGCGAGGAUACCGAUCGCUAUCCAAUAGCUUUCCCGUCGAAUCGAGUUAUGCAACGAGCUUGCCAUAUCC